GACGAACCGAGCGAACGCUAUUCGGAAUCACUGGGCUUAAAGGGCGCGUAGGCGGAUCAAAAAGUCAGGGGUGAAAUCCCACGGCUCAACCGUGGAAGUGCCUUUGAUACUGUUGAUCUCGAGGGAGGUAGGGGCGUGCGGAACUUCCGGUGGAGCGGUGAAAUGCGUAGAUAUCGGAAGGAACACCGGUGGCGAAAGCGGCGCGCUGGACCUCUUCUGACGCUGAGGCGCGAAAGCCAGGGGAGCAAACGGG
Molecule: ribosomal RNA, 253 nt
Filed under: uncultured bacterium
Lineage: Bacteria
Description: partial 16S ribosomal RNA
Rfam family: Bacterial small subunit ribosomal RNA
Source: RNAcentral